UACAGAGGGGGCAAGCGUUGUUCGGAAUUACUGGGCGUAAAGGGCGCGUAGGCGGUCGUGACAAGUCACUUGUGAAAUCUCCGGGCUUAACUCGGAACGGUCAAGUGAUACUGUCGGACUAGAGUGCAGAAGGGGCAACUGGAAUUCUCGGUGUAGCGGUGAAAUGCGUAGAUAUCGAGAGGAACACCUGCGGCGAAGGCGGGUUGCUGGGCUGACACUGACGCUGAGGCGCGAAAGCCAGGGGAGCGAACGGG
Molecule: ribosomal RNA, 254 nt
Filed under: uncultured bacterium
Lineage: Bacteria
Description: partial 16S ribosomal RNA
Rfam family: Bacterial small subunit ribosomal RNA
Source: RNAcentral